UGAGGAAUAUUGGUCAAUGGACGGAAGUCUGAACCAGCCAAGUAGCGUGUAGGAUGACGGCCCUCCGGGUUGUAAACUGCUUUUAGUUGGGAAUAAAAAGAGGGACGUGUCCCUAAUUGUAUGUACCUUCAGAAAAAGGACCGGCUAAUUCCGUGCCAGCAGCCGCGGUAAUACGGAAGGUCCAGGCGUUAUCCGGAUUUAUUGGGUUUAAAGGGAGCGUAGGCGGAUUAUUAAGUCAGUGGUGAAAGACGGUGGCUCAACCAUCGUUAGCCAUUGAAACUGGUAGUCUUGAGUGCAGACAGGGAUGCUGGAACUCGUGGUGUAGCGGUGAAAUGCUUAGAUAUCACGAUGAACUCCGAUCGCGAAGGCAGGUGUCCGGGCUGCAACUGACGCUGAGGCUCGAAAGUGUGGGUAUCAAACAGG
Molecule: ribosomal RNA, 423 nt
Filed under: bacterium
Lineage: Bacteria
Description: partial 16S ribosomal RNA
Rfam family: Bacterial small subunit ribosomal RNA
Source: RNAcentral